RNAcentral lists this ribosomal RNA (466 nucleotides) under uncultured bacterium. Its description in RNAcentral is "partial 16S ribosomal RNA". It matches the Rfam family "Bacterial small subunit ribosomal RNA", at positions 28 to 507 of the family's 1533-position model. The record is from RNAcentral.
GACGAACGCUGGCGGCGUGCUUAACACAUGCAAGUCGAACGGAAAGGCCCUGCUUGCAGGGUACUCGAGUGGCGAACGGGUGAGUAACACGUGGGUGAUCUGCCCUGCACUUCGGGAUAAGCCUUGGAAACUGGGUCUAAUACCGGAUAGGAGCCAUUUUUAGUGUGUUGGAUGGAAAGUUUUUUUCGGUGUAGGAUGAGCUCGCGGCCUAUCAGCUUUUUGGUGGGGUAAUGGCCUACCAAGGCGGCGACGGGUAGACGGACUGAGAGGGUGGACGGCCACAAUGGGGCUGAGAUACGGCCCAGACGCCUACGGGAGGCAGCAGUGGGGAAUAUUGCACAAUGGGCGCAAGGCUGAUGCAGCGACGCCGCGUGGGGGAUGACGGCCUUCGGGUUGUAAACUCCUUUCGCUAGGGACGAAGCUUUUUGUGACGGUACCUAGAUAAGAAGCACCGGCUAACUACGUG